UACGUAGGGUCCAAGCGUUGUCCGGAUUUAUUGGGCGUAAAGAGCUCGUAGGCGGUUCCGUAAGUCGGAUGUGAAAACUCGGGGCUCAACCCCGAGACGCCAUCCGAUACUGCGGUGACUUGAGUCUGGUAGGGGAACACGGAAUUCCUGGUGUAGCGGUGAAAUGCGCAGAUAUCAGGAGGAACACCAAUGGCGAAGGCAGCUCGCUGGAACGGUACUGACGCUGAGGCGCGAAAGCGUGGGGAGCGAACAGG
This 254-nucleotide ribosomal RNA is filed under the name uncultured bacterium. Its description in RNAcentral is "partial 16S ribosomal RNA". It matches the Rfam family "Bacterial small subunit ribosomal RNA", at positions 524 to 776 of the family's 1533-position model. The record is from RNAcentral.